RNAcentral lists this ribosomal RNA (436 nucleotides) under Canis lupus (wolf). RNAcentral describes it as "partial 12S ribosomal RNA". It matches the Rfam family "Bacterial small subunit ribosomal RNA", at positions 768 to 1404 of the family's 1533-position model. Lineage: Eukaryota; Metazoa; Chordata; Mammalia; Carnivora; Canidae. The record is from RNAcentral.
CAAACUGGGAUUAGAUACCCCACUAUGCUUAGCCCUAAACAUAGAUAAUUUUACAACAAAAUAAUUCGCCAGAGGACUACUAGCAAUAGCUUAAAACUCAAAGGACUUGGCGGUGCUUUAUAUCCCUCUAGAGGAGCCUGUUCUAUAAUCGAUAAACCCCGAUAAACCUCACCACCUUUCGCUAAUUCAGUCUAUAUACCGCCAUCUUCAGCAAACCCUCAAAAGGUAGAACAGUAAGCACAAUCAUUUUACAUAAAAAAGUUAGGUCAAGGUGUAACUUAUAAGGUGGGAAGAAAUGGGCUACAUUUUCUACCCAAGAACAUUUCACGAAUGUUUUUAUGAAAUUAAAAACUGAAGGAGGAUUUAGUAGUAAAUUAAGAAUAGAGAGCUUAAUUGAAUAGGGCCAUGAAGCACGCACACACCGCCCGUCACCCUC